ACCCGCUGGAAUUUAAGCAUAUCAAUAAGCGGAGGAAAAGAAACCAACAGGGAUUGCCUCAGUAACGGCGAGUGAAGCGGCAAGAGCUCAAAUUUGAAAUCUGGCCCCUCCGGGGUCCGAGUUGUAAUUUGUAGAGGAUGCUUCGGGUGCGGCCCCCGUCUAAGUGCUCUGGAACGGGCCAUCGGAGAGGGUGAGAAUCCCGUCUGGGACGGGGUGUCCGCGUCCAUGUGAAGCUCCUUCGACGAGUCGAGUUGUUUGGGAAUGCAGCUCUAAAUGGGUGGUAAAUUUCAUCUAAAGCUAAAUACUGGCCGGAGACCGAUAGCGCACAAGUAGAGUGAUCGAAAGAUGAAAAGCACUUUGAAAAGAGAGUUAAACAGCACGUGAAAUUGUUGAAAGGGAAGCGCUUGCGACCAGACUCGCUUCCGGGGUUCAGCCGGCUUUCGGGCCGGUGUACUUCCCCGGGGGCGGGCCAGCGUCGGUUUGGGCGGCCGGUCAAAGGCCCCUGGAAUGUAACGCCCCUCGGGGCGCCUUAUAGCCAGGGGUGUCAUGCGGCCAGCCUGGACCGAGGAACGCGCUUCGGCACGGACGCUGGCAUAAUGGUCGUAAACGACCCGUCUUGAAACACGGACC
RNAcentral lists this ribosomal RNA (630 nucleotides) under Aspergillus proliferans. RNAcentral describes it as "partial large subunit ribosomal RNA". It matches the Rfam family "Eukaryotic large subunit ribosomal RNA", at positions 23 to 667 of the family's 3401-position model. Lineage: Eukaryota; Fungi; Ascomycota; Eurotiomycetes; Eurotiales; Aspergillaceae. The record is from RNAcentral.